GAGUUUGAUCUUGGCUCAGAGCGAACGCUGGCGGCAUGCUUAACACAUGCAAGUCGCACGGUCAGCAAUGGCAGUGGCGGACGGGGUGAGUAACACGUAGGAAUCUAUCUCUGGGUGGGGGACAACAGUGGGAAACUACUGCUAAUACCGCAUGAUACCUGAGGGUCAAAGGCGUAAGUCGCCUGGAGAGGAGCCUGCGUCUGAUUAGCUUGUUGGUGGGUAAAGGCCUACCAAGGCUACGAUCAGUAGCUGGUCUGAGAGGAUGAUCAGCCACAUUGGGACUGAGACACGGCCCAAACUCCUACGGGAGGCAGCAGUGGGGAAUAUUGGACAAUGGGCGAAAGCCUGAUCCAGCAAUGCCGCGUGUGUGAAGAAGGUCUUCGGAUUGUAAAGCACUUUUGGCAGGGACGAUGAUGACGGUACCUGCAGAAUAAGCCCCGGCUAACUUCGUGCCAGCAGCCGCCGUAAU
This 469-nucleotide ribosomal RNA is filed under the name bacterium enrichment culture clone ALO1_GLFRUDD03F7PLH. RNAcentral's name for it is "bacterial SSU rRNA". It matches the Rfam family "Bacterial small subunit ribosomal RNA", at positions 9 to 524 of the family's 1533-position model. The record is from RNAcentral.